Molecule: long non-coding RNA, 5164 nt
Filed under: Homo sapiens (human)
Lineage: Eukaryota; Metazoa; Chordata; Mammalia; Primates; Hominidae
Description: HSALNT0280566
Rfam family: U4 spliceosomal RNA (bases 4169-4241)
Source: RNAcentral
CUACAGAGUGAGACUCAGUCUCAAAAAAAAAAAACCAGGUGUGGUGGCAGGCGCCUAUAGUUCCAGCUACUUGGGAGGCUGAGGCAGGAGAAUCACUUGAACCUGGGAAGCCUGGGCAACAGAAUGAGACUCCGUCUCACAAAAAAAAAAACGAUUCAAUAGGAAUCAUCCACAGCACAUUUAUACAUUUACAACUUAAAUAACAUUAUGAUAUACAUUAUGAUGGUUGCUGAUUUUUUUAAAUCUAGUUCUCUAAUACCUCAUUCUUCACUCAGUUUGACUCAUUAAACAUGACCAAACACUUAUGACUGCCAGUAGGGAGAAUGGGACAUGGUGGCUUAUAUAAAUGUUGUACCUCCCUUCAGCAAGGAGAAGUUAGAAUGGCAGAGUUCAUAUGGCCAUGAUGCUCUUGAAUGUCUUUUAAUUUAAUGCCAGGAUGAAACAAUAAAGUCCAUGUGACCAAUUUACACUACUAUAUAAAUCUUUAUGUUCAUUUAAGACUAAAUUACUGUGAUAUUUGGCUACAUGGCAUGGUUAACAAAGGAUUUCACUAAAAUCAUAGGAUAAUUAAGAUUUCCUGGCCGGGUGCAGUGGCUCACUCCUGUGAUCCCCACAUGGGAGGAUCCCAGGUGGGAGGAUGGCUUAAACCCAGGAGUUUGAGACCAGCCUGGAAUAUAGAGAGACCAUGUCUUUACAGAACAUGCAAAAAUUAGCCAGACAUGGUGGCAUUUACCUAUAGUCCAGAGAGAAUUGCUUGUGUCCCAGAGGUCAAGUCUACAAUGAGCUGUGGUCACAUCAUUGCAUUCCAGCGUGGGUGACAGAGCGAGACUUUAUAUCAAAAAAAAAAAGAAAGAAAAGAAAAAAAAAUAAAGGAUUUCCCCAAAAAAUUUGAAUAUUUACUCUAACUUGAAAUGAUCAUAUUUUCAAGGUCGCUGAAGCUAAAUUAUAGAUGAAUACACAAAAUGACCUUCAAACUAAGGAACAGAAAACAUUUGCUAGACCUGAGAAACACGUUUUCCCCCAAAGUUUUAUUUAAAAGAUCACCAAAAAGACUUGAUAAAGAAAACUUUUGAAUCCUCUGUGUGAGCCUAUUCUUUGCCGGAACACCCACAGCCAAGUGAUGCCAGCUUGGCUGAUCUAUCAAUGCAAUCAUUGAAAGCCACAUGGCAGAGAAAGGGAAAAAUAAUAAAGUGAACCCUUUUGGAAAUGUAAGGGGAUAAAAAAACAAUUUAUCUCUACUUAUAAAUACAGGAUUUCAUUCUGAGAUCUAGUCCAACUCCUCACUUCAGAGAUGAGGAAAAUGAGUCUUAGAGAAGAUAAGGCUUUUUAAAUUAAUAGGCUAUUUUUGUGAGCAGUUUUAGGUUUAUAGAAUAAUUGAGCUGAAAGUACAGUUCCCAUUAAUACAGUUUCCCAUGUUAAUUCACCCAUGUUAAUCUCUAUUACUUUAAUUUCACACGUUAAUCUUGCAUUAAUAUGGCACAUUUGUUAUAACUGAUCUGCCAAUAUAGAUGCAUUAUUAUUAACCAAAGUCCAUAGUUUACAUUAGGGUUCAGUCUUUGUGUUGUACAUUAUAUGGCUUUUGACAAAGAUAUAAUGACAUGUAUCCACCAUUACAGUACCAUACAGAAUAGUUCUACUGUCCUAAAAAUCCCAUCUAUUCAUCCCUCCCUCCCCGCUCCUGAAUCUCUGGCAAGCACCGAUCUUUUUACUGUUCCAUAGAUUUUAGCCAUUUUAAUAUAUGUGUAAUGGUAUCUUCUUGUUUUAAUUUGCAAUUCUGUAAUGGCAUAUGAUGUGGAGCAUCUUUUCAUAUGCUUAUUUGCCAUCUGUAGAUCUUCUUUGGUGAGGUGUCUGUUCAGAUUGUCUGUUCAGGUGUCUGUUUUUAAAUUGAGCUGUUUGUUUUCUUAAGGUUGUGUUUAAGAAUUGCUUAUAUGUUUUGGAUACCAAUCGUUAUCAGAUAAAUGUUUUGCAAAUAUUUUCUCUAUGGCUUAUCUUUUUGUACUCUUAAGAAUGUCUUUUGCAGAGCAGUUUUAAGUUUUCAUAGAGUUUAAUUUAUCAACUUUUCUUUUUGGUAGAUCAUACUUUGGGUGUUGUGUCUAAGCAGUGAUCACCAAUCCCAAAGUCAUCUAGAUUUUCUCUUAUACUAUCUUUUAGGAGUUUUGUAGUUUUGCAUUUUACAUUUAGGUCUCUGAUCCAUUUUGAGUUAAUUUUUGUGAGAAGUGUAAGGCCUAUAUCUGGCUUCGAUUUUUUUUUUCUUGUGGAAGUCCAGUUAUUCCAGCACCAUUUGUUAAAAGGAUUAUCCUUUGUCCAUUAAUUGCCUUUGCUCCUUUGUCAAAGAGAGGUAAGACUUUUUAGCAACACCUUGAGGUGUUAUUUUCUUAUCAGUUCUUUUUGCUGAUAAACUGACUACAGCUCAGUGUUUAAGGGAAUUGUCUCUGGAGUCAGACGAUCUGUUUUUUUAUCUAAACAUUUUCAGCUGCAAUCUGUGAGAUCAUGGGCAAGUUACUUAACCUCUCUCAGCCUCAGUAUACUCAACUGUACAAUGGGUUUGAUGAUAAUAACAUGAUUAAUAAUAAUUGUAAGGUUAUCAGGAGACAGAUUAGAUAAUAUAGGUAAAAUAUCUGGCACAUAGUAUACCCCCAAAAAAUGUUGAGUAAGGGCUGCUACUAUUGGAGUAUUCCAAAUUUAACUUGCUUUCUGCCUUGGGGCUCACUAUUGAAAUAUACCAGACAAAAAUAUAUGCACAUCUUUCUUCAUUCUCUAAACACCCUUCUAAUUUUUAUAAAAUUAUGUACCAUUUAAGUAGGUUUUUUUCCAAAAUCACGUUCUCUGCAAACUCAUCUGUGGUGGCAGCAGCCAGAUCCGUAGUUGCUCAGUAGUCAUUGAUGGAGGAAGGGGCACAAGGAAACUUCUGGGUGUGAUUGAAAUGUUCUGUUUUUUUGUUUUUUUUUUAAUUGUAGUUGUGGUUUCAUGGGUGUUUACAUCUGUCAAAAUCCAUUGAAUUGUAUACUUUAUAUGGGUGCAGUGUAUUGUACAUACAUUAUACCUCCAUAAAGCUAAGACACACACAAGCAGGAAAUGUAAAUACUAUCUGGAUAUUGACAUCAAGGAAUUACUGUUAGUUUUUUACAUAUGAGAAUGUAUUGUAGUUAUUUUGAAUUUUUUGAAAAGUCCUUAUCUUUUAGAGAUGCAUAGAGAAAUACUUGCAGAUGAAAUAGUGUGAUGUGUAAUAUUUGCAUCAAAAUAAUAAGAGAUCGGAAGGGUGGAUUGGGGAGAGAGAUGAAACACAUUUGACUAUGAGCUGAUAACUAUUGCAGCUGGAUGGUAUGUACAUAGAUAGUUCAUUCCACUAUUCUGUUUUGUUUUGUGUGUUUAAAAUUGUCUAUAAUUUUAAAGCUUUUUAAAGAACCACUCCACACAUACAGGAACUGUUGCUUUUAUUUCAGUUGAUAAAUGGAACAGUACUGAAAGCAUCAUUAAGGUUUUUUUAUUUUUUUCUACACACCAUUUAUUUUUUAUCUAUUUUUUUUAUUAUACUUUAAGUUCUAGGGUAUAUGUGCACAACAUGCAGGUUUGUUACGUAUGUAUACAUGUGCCAUGUUGGUUUGCUGCACCCAUCAACUCGUCAUUUACAUUAGGUAUUUCUCCUAACACUAUCCCUCCCCCAGCCCACCACCCCCCAACAGGCCCUGGUGUAUGAUGUUCCCCUCCCUGAGUCCAUGUGUUCUCAUUGUUCGAUUCCCACCUAUGAGUGAGAACAUGUGGUCUGCACGCCAUUUAUACUUUUUAAUUACAAUUUUUGAGAUAAUUGUAGAUUCACACACAGUUGUAAGAAAUAGUAUAGAGAGAUCCCCUGUACACUUUGCCCAGUUUCCCACAAAGGUAACAUCUUGCAAAAGAAUAGUAUAAGAUCUCAACCAGGAUAGUCAAUCCACUCAUCUGAUUUAGAUUCCCCAAGUUUUACUUCUCCUUGUGUGUGUGUGUGUGUGUGUGUGUGUGUCCUCUCCAGCUACAAAUGUCAUGUUCCUUAUUCAGGAUAAUCUGUGGUUAAAUUCAGGACUUAGAGAGAGAAGGAGGUAGGUUUAUGCAAAUAUCAGAUUUCUUUGAUGGUAGGCAACAAAUGGACACAGGCUAACUUAAGGAAAAAGGAAAUCUAUAAAAGCUACGUAGGAGCUUUGCACAGUGGCAGUAUCGUAGCCAAUGAGGUUUAUCCGAGGCGUGAUUAUUGCUAAUUGAAAAGCUAAGUAAGAGCUCACAGAAUCAAAGGAGCCAACUUGGAAAGGGUAGGAACCAGAGCCAUUCCAGAGAUCCAGGAAGCAGGAAUCAACGGACUUGCACCUCCAGGUGUUUCACCAGCAUGAAUCUAUAGAACUCAUAUUCCAAGAAGGGUGUUGCCCACUGGGGUCAGGCGCCCUACCUUUUAGCUGGUAGAGAGUGGGACAUCCUGAUGCACAGUCCUCCCAAACUGUAACUGAUUAAGGAAGAGUAGUUCACUCAAAAGAAAUCUAGCAUGCUGUUUCCUGGAGAAGGAAAAAUGGAUGGUGGCCAGAAAUUACAACAAACGUACACUUUAAUAAAUUUCAGAAGAGGUCUUCAGUGGUAAAUAAGAAUGCAUUGUAUAUGAAAACUUUGAAUAAAAGAACAUUGUGCUUGGAGUGAAACACUCAGGGCUAUGUGUCUACAAGAAGAUUCUACAUUUAGGAGAAAUAAGCUUUAGUGAUCUAUUCUACAGAAUGGUGACUAUAAUAAAUAGUAAUGUGUUAUACAUUUCAAAAUUGCUGAGUGUAUAUUUUAAGAGUUUUCACUACAAAAAAUGUUAAGUACGAGAGGUGACGAAUUUGUUAAUCAGCUUGAUUUAAUCAUCUCACAAUGUAAAUAUAAAUCAAAACAUCACAUUGUACCCCAUAAAUUUAUACGAUUGUGAUGUCCAUUAAAAAUAAAAUUAAAAAAAGAAGGUUUACAUGCAAAGCUUUCUCAUUGCUGCUUAUGGAUUGGGACAAGCCUAAGAAGAGUUUCUUGUUCAUUAUUUUUCGUUUGACAAAUAUUUAUUUACCACGCCCCAGUGAUUCUAAGUCUAAGCCUCAGUGAUUCUGGUCUAGGUCAUUUCCUUUAUUCACUGUCCCCAAUGCAGAGCUCAAGUGGCUUAGCCUCAAUAGCUAGCAACAGG